Molecule: ribosomal RNA, 462 nt
Filed under: uncultured bacterium
Lineage: Bacteria
Description: partial 16S ribosomal RNA
Rfam family: Bacterial small subunit ribosomal RNA
Source: RNAcentral
GACGAACGCUGGCGGCGUGCUUAACACAUGCAAGUCGAACGGUGAAGCCCUUCGGGGUGGAUCAGUGGCGAACGGGUGAGUAACACGUGAGCAACCUGCCCCUGGCUCUGGGACAACCACUGGAAACGGUGGCUAAUACCGGAUACGACCCGCCUCGGCAUCGCGUGUGGGUGGAACGUUUUUCGGCUGGGGAUGGGCUCGCGGCCUAUCAGCUUGUUGGUGAGGUGAAGGCUCACCAAGGCGACGACGGGUAGCCGGCCUGAGAGGGCGACCGGCCACACUGGGACUGAGACACGGACCAGACUCCUACGGGAGGCAGCAGUGGGGAAUAUUGCACAAUGGGCGAAAGCCUGAUGCAGCGACGCCGCGUGAGGGAUGACGGCCUUCGGGUUGUAAACCUCUUUCAGCUCCGAAGAAGCGAAAGUGACGGUAGGAGCAGAAGAAGCACCGGCUAACUACGUG